This 456-nucleotide ribosomal RNA is filed under the name uncultured bacterium. RNAcentral's name for it is "bacterial SSU rRNA". It matches the Rfam family "Bacterial small subunit ribosomal RNA", at positions 28 to 496 of the family's 1533-position model. The record is from RNAcentral.
GAUGAACGCUGGCGGCGUGCCUAACACAUGCAAGUCGAACGAGCGAGAGAGAGCUUGCUUUCUCGAGCGAGUGGCGAACGGGUGAGUAACGCGUGAGGAACCUGCCUCAAAGAGGGGGACAACAGUUGGAAACGACUGCUAAUACCGCAUAAGCCCACAGGUCGGCAUCGACCAGAGGGAAAAGGAGCAAUCCGCUUUGAGAUGGCCUCGCGUCCGAUUGGCUGGUUGGUGAGGUAACGGCCCACCAAGGCGACGAUCGGUAGCCGGACUGAGAGGUUGAACGGCCACAUUGGGACUGAGACACGGCCCAGACUCCUACGGGAGGCAGCAGUGGGGAAUAUUGCACAAUGGGGGAAACCCUGAUGCAGCGACGCCGCGUGGAGGAGAAGGUCUUCGGAUUGUAAACUCCUGUUCGUUGGGGAAGAUAAUGAACGGUACCCAACAAGGAAGUGACGG